AAGUCGUAACAAGGUUUCCGUAGGUGAACCUGCGGAAGGAUCAUUAACACGUAUCCAACGUUAAACCCCCUGUGAACCUUCAUUGUGCUCGUACAAACCACGUCAUAAACCGGCAAUCUCUGGUAAAUCAUCGCCGAACAGUUUUGAUUCAGAGACCUCUGGGAAGGUUGUACCAUAGCGCGAGGCAAUUGACCUGGCAUUCCUCUGCUUGUUAGUGUCUGAAAGUGUCACUAGCUAUGUACGGAUGGCGCAGUCACGAUCGCUGUAGGCCGACACGGCCGGCGACCAGGUCACUGGCUACGGCCCCUACGAUCACAACCUUUGCAUGAAAACGGGCGUGCGUUCCGAUGCAGCCACCAUAAAAAUGCUUAAAACAACUGUUAACAAUGGAUAUCUUGGUUCUC
Molecule: unclassified non-coding RNA, 404 nt
Filed under: fungal sp.
Lineage: Eukaryota; Fungi
Description: partial internal transcribed spacer region
Rfam family: Eukaryotic small subunit ribosomal RNA (bases 1-46)
Source: RNAcentral